RNAcentral lists this long non-coding RNA (345 nucleotides) under Carica papaya (papaya). RNAcentral's name for it is "long non-coding RNA (CPAP_LNC000319)". The record is from RNAcentral. Lineage: Eukaryota; Viridiplantae; Streptophyta; Magnoliopsida; Brassicales; Caricaceae.
AGGGAGUUCCCGACCCUCAGCUCCGUUCUGCAGGCCAGCACCCGCGGUGCCUGCCCAACCAAACAAGAGGCCCAGACCAGCCAUCCAGGCCCCUCCUCAGGCUCUAGGGGCAGCACGUGGGAAGAUCUGUCAACACUGUGGUAGAAAUCACGGGGACCGACCCUGCUACCGCCUCAACAACACUUGUCGCAUUUGUGGCAGUGCCCAGCAUUAUGCCAGAGAAUGCCUGAGGAACCACAAUCAAGGGAGGCCUCCUAUCCAGGGCAGAGCUUACAACCUUACCCAGCAGGAUGCCGGCGCCGACCCGGAUGUGGUACAGGGUAUGUAUACUAUCUGUGACCGUAU